UCGAACGAGUUCUGAUUAUUGAAAGGUGCUUGCAUCUUGAUUUAAUUUUGAACGAGUGGCGGACGGGUGAGUAACACGUGGGUAACCUGCCCUUAAGUGGGGGAUAACAUUUGGAAACAGAUGCUAAUACCGCAUAAAUCCAAGAACCGCAUGGUUCUUGGCUAUAAAGAUGGCGUAAGAUAUCGCUUUUUGGAUGGACCCGCGGCGUAUUAGCUAGUUUGGUGAGGUAUCGGCUCACCAGGGCAUAAAUACGUACGCCGAACCGAAGAGUUGAACCGGCCACAUCGGGACUCAAACAGGCCCCAACCUCCUACGGAAGGCAGCAGUUGGGCAAUCUUCCACAAUGGACGCAAGUCUGAUGGUACCAACGCCGCGUGAGUUAAGGAAGGUUUUCGGGUCGUAAAACUCUGUUGUUCGCAGAAGAAUGGUCGGCAGAGUAACUGUUGUCGGCGUGACGGUAUCCAACCAGAAAGCCACGGCUAACUACGUGCCAGCUGCCGCGGUAAUACGUAGGUGGCAAGCGUUAUCCGGAUUUAUUGCGCGUAAAGCGAGCGCAGGCGGUUUUUUUAAGUCUGAUGUGAAGCCCCUCGGCUUAACCCGAGGAAGUGCAUCGGAAACUGGGAAACUUGAGUGCAGAAGAGGACAGUGGAACUCCAUGUGUAGCGGUGAAAUGCGUAGAUAUAUGGAAGAACACCAGUCGCGAAGCCGGCUGUCUGGUCUGUAACUGACGCUGAGGCUCGAAAGCAUGGGUAGCGAACAGGAUUAGAUACCCUGGUAGUCCAUGCCCGUAAACGAUGAAUGCUACGUGUUGGAGGGGUUUCCGCCCUUUCAGUGCCGCAGCUAACGCAUUUAGGCAUUCCGCCUGGGGAGUACGACCGCUAGGUUGAAACUCAAAGGAAUUGAACGGGGGCCCCCCACAAGCGUUGCAGCAUGUAGUUUAAAUUCUUAGCAACCCGGAAGAACCUUUACCAGGUCUUGGACAUCUUUUUGAUCCCCCUUA
Molecule: ribosomal RNA, 1000 nt
Filed under: uncultured Streptococcus sp.
Lineage: Bacteria; Bacillati; Bacillota; Bacilli; Lactobacillales; Streptococcaceae
Description: bacterial SSU rRNA
Rfam family: Bacterial small subunit ribosomal RNA
Source: RNAcentral